GUGCUCACUUUGGCAGCACAUAUACUCAAAUUUGAAUGAUACAGAGAAGAUUAACAUGGUCCCUGUGCAAAGAUGGCACACAAAUUUGUGAAGCGUUACAUAUUUUU
This is a small nuclear RNA of Chionomys nivalis (European snow vole), 107 nucleotides long. The record is from RefSeq and is a predicted model, not a curated record. Lineage: Eukaryota; Metazoa; Chordata; Mammalia; Rodentia; Cricetidae.